This 443-nucleotide ribosomal RNA is filed under the name uncultured bacterium. Its description in RNAcentral is "partial 16S ribosomal RNA". It matches the Rfam family "Bacterial small subunit ribosomal RNA", at positions 338 to 795 of the family's 1533-position model. The record is from RNAcentral.
CCUACGGGUGACAGCAGUGGGGGAUAUUGGACAAUGGGGGGAACCCUGAUCCAGCGACGCCGCGUGAGUGAAGAAGUAUUUCGGUAUGUAAAGCUCUGUCAGCAGGGAAGAAAGAAAUGACGGUACCUGAUCAAGAAGCCCCGGCUAACUACGUGCCAGCAGCCGCGGUAAUACGUAGGGGGCAAGCGUUAUCCGGAAUUACUGGGUGUAAGGGGAGCGUAGACGGUUAAGUAAGUCUGGAGUGAAAGGCCGGGGCCCAACCCCGGGACUGCUCUGGAAACUAGUGAACUUGAGUGCAGGAGAGGUAAGCGGAAUUCCUAGUGUAGCGGUGAAAUGCGUAGAUAUUAGGAGGAACACCAGUGGCGAAGGCGGCUUACUGGACUGUAACUGACGUUGAGGCGCGAAAGCGUGGGGAGCAAACAGGAUUAGAUACCCGGGUAGUC